This 511-nucleotide small RNA is filed under the name Pongo abelii (Sumatran orangutan). RNAcentral's name for it is "sense intronic". Lineage: Eukaryota; Metazoa; Chordata; Mammalia; Primates; Hominidae. The record is from RNAcentral.
GCGGACAACGGUGACCAGACCUACUCCAGCCACGCGGGUGAGCGGCUGUCUGGAUGUCGGCGAAGCCGCGGGCGAGCCGCGGUGGAAGAUGGGGCCAAGGGAAAGUCCAGAGCCUGGGCCAUCUCCGGCCUCACUCACCCUCCUCCCUCACCUGGUCCCUGGGCUGAGAAUCAUGGCCCGGCCUGAGAACCCCCAAGGCAGCACGCAGAGGCCGGGUCUUCACCGAGCCCUGACACUGACAGGCUGUGUGACGACAGCUGACAACUAACCCUCUCUCGUUUUACUUUCUAUCACUCCUUUAAAGGCAGAGCAGUGGGCACAGGUGCCAUGGCGGGAAGCAGGCCUUUCUGAAUUCUUAGCAGCGAUCUCCAAGGGCACUGUAACCUUGCAAGAAAGAGGCUGCCAGUCUUGCAUCAGAUACAGAAACCAGGGCGCAGAGUAGGAGCUAGAGCAUCUUGGAUGGAGAAACCUCGGCAAAGACAAAGGCCCAUUGUCCCCCUUCCCUGGCCUU